GCACUGCUGAGGAGUCCCACAAUAGUAUGAAACGGCCGUCCAGUGC
Schistosoma curassoni is the source of this 46-nucleotide non-coding RNA. Lineage: Eukaryota; Metazoa; Platyhelminthes; Trematoda; Strigeidida; Schistosomatidae. The record is from Rfam.